CUGAGAUACGGCCCAGACUCCUACGGGAGGCAGCAGUGGGGAAUUUUGCACAAUGGGCGCAAGCCUGAUGCAGCGACGCCGCGUGAGGGAUGAAGGCCUUCGGGUUGUAAACCUUUUUCGCUCAUGGUCAAGCCAUACUGUUGGGUGUGGUGAGGGUAGUGGGUAAAGAAGCGCCGGCUAACUACGUGCCAGCAGCCGCGGUAAUACGUAGGGCGCGAGCGUUGUCCGGAAUUAUUGGGCGUAAAGGGCUUGUAGGCGGUUGGUCGCGUCUGCCGUGAAAUUCUCUGGCUUAACUGGGGGCGUGCGGUGGGUACGGGCUGACUUGAGUGCGGUAGGGGAGACUGGAACUCCUGGUGUAGCGGUGGAAUGCGCAGAUAUCAGGAAGAACACCGGUGGCGAAGGCGGGUCUCUGGGCCGUUACUGACGCUGAGGAGCGAAAGCGUGGGGAGCGAACAGGAUUAGAUACCCUGGUAGUCCACGCUGUAAACGUUGGGCACUAGGUGUGGGGGCCACCCGUGGUUUCUGCGCCGUAGCUAACGCUUUAAGUGCCCCGCCUGGGGAGUACGGCCGCAAGGCUAAAACUCAAAGGAAUUGACGGGGGCCCGCACAAGCGGCGGAGCAUGCGGAUUAAUUCGAUGCAACGCGAAGAACCUUACCAAGGCUUGACAUAUACUGGACCGCAUCAGAGAUGGUGUUUCCCUUCGGGGCUGGUAUACAGGUGGUGCAUGGUUGUCGUCAGCUCGUGUCGUGAGAUGUUGGGUUAAGUCCCGCAACGAGCGCAACCCUUGCCCUAUGUUGCCAGCACGUGAUGGUGGGGACUCGUGGGGGACUGCCGGGGUUAACUCGGAGGAAGGUGGGGAUGACGUCAAAUCAUCAUGCCCCUUAUGUCUUGGGCUUCACGCAUGCUACAAUGGUUGGUACAGAGGGUUGCGAUACUGUGAGGUGGAGCGAAUCCCUUAAAGCCAGUCUCAGUUCGGAUUGGGGUCUGCAACUCGACCCCAUGAAGGUGGAGUCGCUAGUAAUCGCAGAUCAGCAACGCUGCGGUGAAUACGUUCUCGGGCCUUGUACACACCGCCCGUCACGUCACGAAAGUUGGUAACACCCGAAGCCCAUGGCCUAACCACGUUUGUGGGGGGAGUGGUCGAAGGUGGGAUUGGCGAUUGGGACGAAGUCGUAACAAGGUAGCCGUACCGGAAGGUGCGGCUGG
RNAcentral lists this ribosomal RNA (1207 nucleotides) under human gut metagenome. Its description in RNAcentral is "bacterial SSU rRNA". It matches the Rfam family "Bacterial small subunit ribosomal RNA", at positions 319 to 1521 of the family's 1533-position model. The record is from RNAcentral.